CGGCGGACGGGUGAGCAACGCGUGGGUAACCUGCCUCAUACAGGGGGAUAACAGUUGGAAACGGCUGCUAAUACCGCAUAAGCGCACAGUACCGCAUGGUACCGUGUGAAAAACUCCGGUGGUAUGAGAUGGACCCGCGUCUGAUUAGCUAGUUGGUGGGGUAACGGCCUACCAAGGCGACGAUCAGUAGCCGACCUGAGAGGGUGACCGGCCACAUUGGGACUGAGACACGGCCCAA
This 238-nucleotide ribosomal RNA is filed under the name uncultured bacterium. RNAcentral's name for it is "partial 16S ribosomal RNA". It matches the Rfam family "Bacterial small subunit ribosomal RNA", at positions 96 to 334 of the family's 1533-position model. The record is from RNAcentral.